UCAAGAAAGUAAAUUUUUUUUGGAAUCCUGAAAACUGACUUUUUGAAGAUGCAGAGAAUUUGCUUUUGCCGAUCGAUAAAUCCUUCAUAUUCAAUGAGACACAAAGGGCAGUCCUUCCGUGUCGCCCUCGGUCGCCCUAUACUCAUACUGGUCGUGGGAAAGAAAACAUUACACUGUACCUGUUGGACGAUGACAGGGGUAGAAGUGGUGAUUGGUUGUCCAACAAGUUUCAGGGCUUCCAAACAAAAAAGAAUGCCAGCAGGGCCGCUGCAGGUCGAAAUUACCUUUGCAAGGGCACUAGGUUUGGAAAGGAGAAUAAUCUUUUCGUUGACAUUAUUGUUGCAGAUAUCAAAUUAUAAGUGAUUAGUGUCACAUUACACAUAUAAGGCCGGGAUCGUCCCCCUUGCCCUCCUGCGUAUCCUUGAAUUUUUGCUGGAAUGUCGGUAAGAUCUGAGGCCACAGAUGAAAAACUAUUGUGCCACUUUCACUACAACUCCAUUACGUAUAGGUUUUUUUGGGGGUGGGUGUUACACUUAAAUUUAGUAGAGACUAGUGAGACUGCGACAAUCGGCAGACAACUUUUCAAAGCGUGAUAGUCAGUGUUCGAACGUGUUUUUAGUUUGCAACUCACAAUGGAAUUCCUUUUGACGUUAUAGUGGUGUUAUGCUGUAUGUAUAUAAGUUGAUAAUUUAUCGCAUUUCCGGAUUUGAGAUUAAUACUGCCAGUUUGAAUUGCCUACUUCUAUCUAGUACUUAAUUCACAUCAUGCCCUCCUGCAUGAGAAAUGUUGGAGUAAAAAACUCUGGAUGGAAAGACCAGGAUGAUGUAGGAAUAAUUUUUAAUCCUCGACAAGUGUCGCAGUCGAUAGACCAGAUGUUGUGGACGUUGCACUACUUUUCCAAGAAUCGUAAAAUAAGGCAUGUCCGUUGUUUCAUAGGCUAUAUUAAAAACAGGAUUGGCGCUUCCAUUCAUUUCCCAUAACCUUGCUAUGCGCAUACAUUUUAUAUCUGAAAUUUGUUGACAAAACUUUUCACGAUCGUAUUUUUUUUUAAUCUGCGUGA
Molecule: long non-coding RNA, 1060 nt
Organism: Daphnia pulicaria
Lineage: Eukaryota; Metazoa; Arthropoda; Branchiopoda; Diplostraca; Daphniidae
Exons: 3
Source: RefSeq, a predicted model, not a curated record